UUAAGCUACUAAGAGCAUAGGGAGAAUGCCUAGGUACCAAAAGCCGAAGAAAGACGUGAUAAGCUGCGAAAAGCCACGGGGAGAAGCAAAUAUUCAAUAAUCCGUGGAUGUCUGAAUGAGGAAACUCUAACCAAGAAAAAAGUUGGUUAAUCCAUACAUGAGUAAAGUAGUGUAUAGGAGGGGAACGUGGGGAACUGAAACAUCUAAGUACCCACAGGAAAAGAAAGAAAACUCGAUUCCUAAAGUAGUGGCGAGCGAAAUAGGAAGAGCCCAAACCAGAAGAAGAAAUUCAUCUGGGGUUCGGACUACAUAAUUGAUUCAAUGAGUUUAGUAAAAUUGUUUGGGAAAGCAAACCAAAGACGGUGAAAGUCCAGUAUACGAAAAACAAGUUGACAAGGUAGAAUCCAGAGUAGUGCGAGACACGUGAAAUCUCGUAUGAAAGAGCGGGGACCACCCCGUAAGGCUAAAUACUAAUUGGUAACCGAUAGUGAAGAAGUACCGUGAGGGAAAGUUGAAAAGAACCCCGGGAGGGGAGUGAAAUAGAACCUGAAACCCUAUGUUUACAAGCAGACAAAGCACGUUAAGGUGCGAUGUCGUACUUUUUGUAGAACGGUCCGGCGAGUUAUUUUAUAUGGCAAGGUUAAGUACUAAAGGUACGGAGCCGAAGAGAAAUCGAGUCUGAAGAGGGCGAAUAAGUCAUAUGAAAUAGACCCGAAACCGAGUGACCUAUCCAUGUCCAGGCUGAAGCUUGAGUAAAAUCAAGUGGAGGGCCGAACUCAUAGACGUUAAAAAGUCUCGGGAUGAGGUGUGGAUAGCGGAGAAAUUCCAAUCGAACUCGGAGAUAGCUGGUUCUCCUCGAAAUAGUUUUAGGACUAGCCUUGUUUCGUAGCAUUUGGGGGUAGAGCACUGAAUGAGGUAGGGGCCAACACGGUUACUGAACUCUAUCAAACUACGAAUACCAAAUGUGUAAGAACAAGAGUCAGACUGCGGGAGCUAAGUUCCGUGGUCAAAAGGGAAAGAGCCCAGAUCGUCAAUUAAGGUCCCAAAGAUAUAGUUAAGUGGAAAACGAUGUGAUUUUGCGUAAACAACCAGGAUGUUGGCUUAGAAGCAGCCAUUCAUUCAAAGAGUGCGUAAUAGCUCACUGGUCGAGUGAAGUUGCGCGGAAAAUUACCGGGGCUAAACUAUACACCGAAAUUGCGGAUUUGCAUAGAAAUAUGUAAGUGGUAGAGGAGCAUUCUAUAGUAGGACGAAGCAUAAUCGAAAGGAUAUGUGGACGAGAUAGAAGAGAGAAUGCCGGAAUAAGUAGCGAAAGCAUGGUGAGAAUCCAUGCCAUCGAAAGUCUAAGGUUUCCUGGGGAAGGUUCGUCCGCCCAGGGUAAGUCGGGACCUAAGGAGAGGCCGAAAAGCGUAUCCGAUGGACAGCAGGUAGAAAUUCCUGCACUACGUAAUACUUAAAAGACAUAAAUGACACAGGAGUGGAAGAUAAGCGAGGAAGAGGAAAGACUCGUAUCGAAAGAUAUAGUGAAAAUUAAAGUAACGAAUUAUCAAGAAGCUAAUGGCGAGAAAAGUUUAUGGAUAUUGUAUUAAGUACCCGUACCGCAAACCGACACAGGUAGAUGAGGAGAAGAUCCUAAGAUGAGCGAGAGAAGCAUUGUUAAGGAACUCGGCAAACUGACCCCGUAACUUCGGAAUAAGGGGUGCUGGAGUAAAAUCCAGUCGCAGAGAAUAGUCCCAAGCAACUGUUUAACAAAAACACAGGUUUCUGCUAAAUCGAAAGAUGAAGUAUAGGAGCUGACACCUGCCCAGUGCUGGAAGGUUAAGGGAAAGAGUUAGACGCAAGUCGAAGCUUAGAACUAAAGCCCCAGUGAACGGCGGCCGUAACUAUAACGGUCCUAAGGUAGCGAAAUUCCUUGUCAGGUAAGUUCUGACCCGC
Molecule: ribosomal RNA, 1932 nt
Filed under: human gut metagenome
Description: bacterial LSU rRNA
Rfam family: Bacterial large subunit ribosomal RNA
Source: RNAcentral